Passer domesticus (house sparrow) is the source of this 6854-nucleotide long non-coding RNA. RefSeq lists it as uncharacterized. The transcript has 3 exons. NCBI's taxonomy places the organism in Eukaryota, Metazoa, Chordata, Aves, Passeriformes, Passeridae. The record is from RefSeq and is a predicted model, not a curated record.
GCUGAUCCUGAUUCCAAUUAAUUUCCCAUUAGCAGAUUUCCUAAAUCACUAGCAGCAUGCCUAGUUACAGAUGAUGCCAAUAACUCUUGGCACAUAUGGCCUUCCUGCCAUUGUGGGGGGAGCGGGCUGGUGCAGUCAGAAGGGAGAAUUUGGAGGAUCCUGGUGCCUUUCUUAAAUCCAGCUGUGUCAGAGGACAAGAUCACCAUUCUCAAAUAGUCUUUACUGCUCUGAAGGAGAGCAGUUUGUGAGAGUCCUGCCUAAUAGGCUUCUGACAGAGCCAGCUGGCAAAAGAAAGAUCUAAUGAAGAACUUUCACUAAUCAAGAAAGGUGUGUGCCACUAUUACAUCAAAUUGCAAUACUAGAAGCCAUCCCAGGGCAAAAGAGCCAUAUGUCACACAAGUCACUGUGUUGAAAAUGCAGAUUGUGUUGAAGUGGAUCAUUCAUGUGUUGUCAAAAUUUACUACAAUUCAGAAGUUGGAUUAAAAUUCAUCAUAACAUUUUGUUUGAUCUUAAGGGUGACUUGCACAAUAUGGACAAAUAACUUGUUAUAUGGACUUCCUGAAGAAUUUAUCUUGUAUUUUAAUUUGGAGAAUACAAUACUUGAAUUGUUUAAGGGCACAGUGUAGUCACUUAGGGUCUACUUAUUUUCCCUUUCACUGAAUAAUAUUUAGUUUAUUUUCUUAAUUUUCUCUGCCUGUGCAAGAAACAUAAAACCUUUUAGCAUCAGUCCUAGGGUAAAAUAUUGCAAUUUAAAUUCCAAUCCCUAAUCUGUAUUCUGGGAGCUACACUUUUAUCCAUGGCAUCUCCUUGUCUAUUCAAAAGGCCUAUGCAUGCAUAUCCUGGGUUUUGUGCAUACAGGCAUUUAGGUAUUUGAGCAGGCAGGUGUCUCCUGCACAUCACAACAGUGGCAAACACCUCCUGGCCUUUUGGAGCAGAAUGUUCUCCAGGAAAACGAGUUGUCAGAUGUGUGUCAUACCCACAGCUUAAUAACGAAAUAGGUGGAAGGAACCAGUAAUUUCAGCACUGAGUUUUCAUGGCAAGAACUGUACUGUACAAAAGGUAGAACUGCAGUCAUGUAUCUCCCUCUUAUAAGGCAGACCUGAAUGAAGUAGAAGCAGCAGAAUUUAGUAUCUCCCUCAAUGAGACCACAGAGCAAACAAGCCUCUGCCUCCAGCAGCCCUCAUUGAAGAGUCAGCACAUCCAGAGUGCCUCUAUGUGAGAUGAGUAUCAAUUUUAAAAACUGAUGGAGCUGCAAUGGUGGGCACCAAACCAUGCCCUCUCCUUAAAAGUGGUUAUGAAAAUAUAUGCUGUUCUGUGGUGUAACUGGGCCAUGUCCAUGCACACCUGACUUGUGCAGCUGCAGGCUGACACACCAGCAGACAAACCACUGAUUACAAGUGUGUGCAAGCCAGCACUGCACAGUAGCCUCUGCUCAGGCACGGUCAGCAGCACAGCUCUGCAAAUUGCAGGGGGCUGGUGUGUUUUCUGUGAGGUUGCUGAUGUGGACAGAUAGGUUUACCAGCUCUUUUUCCUUCCAGUCCUCAAGUUCAUCAAAGCAGAAAUUAUUAUGAAGCCCAAACCAUACAGACCAACACUGGGAUUAGCUCACUUGGCUGGAGCAUGGUGCUAAUAGUGCCAAGGUUGUGGGUUGGAUCUCUGUAUGGGCCAUUCACUUAAGAGUUGGACUUGAUGAUCCUUGUGGGUCCCAUCCAGCUCAGAAGAUAAAUGUAUGACACAGAUAAAAUGUAUGACACAGUCAACUUUGCCAUACAUGGACUAAUGCCUUACUCUUAAAAAAAAAGACAAACCCUGUAUGUCUUUUAAGGCACAUCUGAAAACUUCCUUUUCUUGUAGCAUCCAAAUUAUAGCCAAACUGAUUUUUGCACCUGUUUUUACUAAUGACUUUCUAAAUACAGAAAGAUUAAUGAUAAUUAUCAAGUUUGCUUGCUUAAAUUUGUAUAAUUGUCUUUGCUCUGUAAUAUCCCACAUAGCCCAUGGUGUUGGCAGACUGGUGUCAGAGGGAAGCUGAAACACUCUUUUGCCAACUCAGCUGUUAGAAACUGCAGUAGGAAAUCAGGGUACCUGCUCAGUUCCCCUCUCCCAGGAAAAAUGGCCCAGAUGCACUUCCCACACUCCCUGCCCUGGGAAGCUUUGUCCAAGGGUUUGGAGACUUUAUGCAGAAGCUCAGGCAAAUGUCCCUGUCACACACUGGCAGAGUUCCAGCCCCACCUGACACGUUCUGCUCUGUGGGACUGCCCAGUGUGCACAAGGGACACGAGUGCAUCAGUGGUAGCAAAGGAUCUGCUGAGGCUGCCAAUACCGGGUUUGACACACCAUCAUAAACAAUGUUUCCUGACAGAAAAGCUUGUAUUAAAUCAACUACCACAAAAUGGCUCUGUUCAUGAAGAACAGUCACGCUAUUUAAUAUGUUUUCAGAGCAAGCUUUUAUGCAGAUGAAUUUGUAUCAUAUCAGGAGGUUAAGAAUAAAACUUUGUCUUUAAAAUACUGUAUUUCCCAGUGUUAGGAAAAAUGAAAGACUAUUGAAAUCUUCUUUAAAACCUUGUUUCCUUUCUAGUCAUUCUUCCUGCAGCAAUAGUGAUAACUCAGUAGGAGUUUAGACACAUAGAACAUGUUUCAGGAGAUUACUGGGAUAAAUCUCUACAUAUACUUUGCACUGGUAUGACAUCAUAGCAAAUGUAGUCUGAAAACUAUUGGGUGUUCUGAAAAACUGGCUAAUCAUGUAAAACCAACCUACAAAGUCAACUCUUAGUGAAAAAGUCUUUUUUUCCAUCUCUUCUCCUUUGAUUAUCCUUCUUUGUGUACCACUUGUCUUUUUCCAUCAAGUGGACAGAAAAAAAGGCAAAACCUAGAAUGAAAGCCCAAGCCAAAGAAACCUUCUGCAUCCAAACAAAAUGAUAUUUGCAACAGGCAGCAGUUAGUUCUAAUUUAGAUAAUCCAAAGUAGGUCACCUUCAUGAGUCUUCCAGACUUUCCAACUUAGCAACUCAGAUGGUUAAUAAAACAAUUUUUAGUUAAUGAGAGAACAUCAGAAAAAAAAAAGAACUGCAGGAAGCUGUGAACUGCAGUAUCUUCUUACUGAGACAGAAUGCCACAUGGCAAGAACAGAUGGGUAAUCCUUCCGUGAUUAUCCUCGACCACUGGCUGAAAGAAAAAGCUGUCACAACAUGGAGGGCUGUAUAUAAAGUACAUAUACAGCCAUUUCCCCUCAUUGAUAGUAAAAGGUUUUUAUGCAAGAGAUUAUAAAGAAAAAGGGAUGCUUUAAUGUGAUGGUGAAGGGAAUAAUUCUUCCAUUUUCCUUCACUUCCUGAAGUGGAGCAUAUGCCAAGGUCCUGAACUAAAUUUAUCUCUCACAAGAAAGGUGUAAUAUACAUUCCACAUCCAUAUCAGGUAUUUCAUACAAACUGAACACAGAACCUGCUUUUAUUGUCUUUGAAUCCUGACACAGUAUGUUCAGUUGACAAUUUAUAGACAGUGUUACCACAAUGAAAUGUUGGUGUCAAAAAUUUGGCUUUUGCAUAUUCAUUGACACCAGAGUUUGCAUUUGUGAUGUGGCAAAAUGAAACCAGGGUGGAUUAAGAAAUGUUUGCUGGAAUCUCAAGUUUUAUGAGAAAUGGAAGGCAUUUCUUGCAAGCAGUGGUCACGUCUCUUUAGACUUUAGUUCUGCCCAUGCACAUAAGAGAGAUCCUGAAUUUUAUAACCCACAUGGAGAGUAGCCUGAUGUAAAAUGAGUACCUGGAAAAGAAUUGUGGUUUUGUUUAUGAAAAGAAAAUGUGGAAGAGUGCAUUUCCAUGGUACAGUAUACCUGAGUUGUGAAGAACACACAUGUAAACCAUAAAAUGACUGAAUUGCAGAACAUGAAGUUAAUGGUGGUUCUGUGGUUCCAAAAAAUCAAAAUACACUUCCUCUACCUUUGAAGUCUAGCAAUAUAUCAGUGUUUAAAACCAAAAAGCAAUGUUUUGGGAACUUUUUGCAGAGCAGACAGUGACCUGUAGUCUGAGAUGGAGAAAUUCUCAAGGAAUAAUUUCUUACCCUGUUUUGCUCUUUCAGAUUGAUGCUUAGACUAGUAAAAAUUCCAGAUUCCCAGGGAAAAGGUCUAUGUCCUCCAUAUGUAUUAAAGGGAUUAGGAGUCUUGUGUUGUUCUGGUAGUGAUGGAAGGGAAAAAAAAGAAAGACUUUGUCACUUCAGGGAAGAAGCCCAGUCUUCAGAAGACAUUGCUACUGCAGAUUACUCAUUAAAAACUGCUCGUGGCCUAUUUCCAACCUUUUCUAUUCCCAAGGCACAUUCUUUAGGUGCUGUGAUUUUUUGAUAUCAUAGGAAUAUAUACAAAUUUGCUAUUUGCUCUGUAUCCUUCACAGAUUCUAAGACUGAGUAUAUUAGAGAUACCCAUUCUCAGACAAAUCAGUUCAUUCACCUUUUUCCCCUUCAUCUCAUAACACAUAUCCAAAAUCUAACUUUUGAUGUGAUAAGGACUUGACUGUUUUUAAGAAAAAUGCUAAUCUUCACUCUGAAAUAACUUAGUCUUCCACUGAUUACAGAAUGUGCUUCAAAACCGCCUAUGAGUCAGGCUGUGAGUUGGAGUUCAGAUAAGCCUGCAGUGUUUGUUCACCAGAUGGACCAUAAGCUCUGCAAAGUAGAGCAAAGGAUAUUGCUUAUUAACACUGCUCCCAACUUCACUUAUUUCUUUGUACAAAGUCUGGUUACUUGAUGCAAUUUUAGACUGGAUUUACACUGUUAGGAGGAGGAAACAAUUUUUUUUAUAACAGGAUGGGUAAAUCUAGCAAAGUAGAUCAGACUAAAAUGGAACUGAGUAUGGUUCCUUUAUUACGUCAUUUUAAGUAGGCAAGAUUGAUACCCUCCAUUUCUCAAACACACCCACACUGAAUUUACAUACCUGUAGAGUGGCAAAAAAAUAUUUAAAUCAAUUAUGUCUUGGGAUUUGAGAGCAAGUUAUCCAAGUCACAGUUGUUACCUGUGCUUAAAACACCAUCUCUUUGACAGUUACGUGCAACCAACGUAAUACUUACAUAAGAAUCAAAUCUGGUUUUUCUCUCAUAUACUUUGUGCUAGAUACUAAUUCUCACCUAACAUGGGGAAUUUUCAGAGCGGUAACUUUCUCAAAGUGUCUUCUGUGUAACCUGAUUAAAUAUUUUCUGAUGCAACACAACUCAAUCAAGCUGCAAUUAUUCAUAAAUGUUAUAAUAAGAAAAUUAAUUUAACAGUUUUAUGCAGUUUAUAAUUUUAGUUUGUUCUUUGGAUUGGUAGACUGGUACUGUUCAUUUCUUCAGUUUCUGUGAUUAUUUUUUUCCAUCUUCAUAUUCUCAAGAUGCUCAACCUUGCCCUUUCCCCUUUUUAGUUUGAAUAAGCACAAGAAAAAAAAAUGUUAUUAAGUAUAUUCUCUUCCUUCUAUUUGGCUGUCUUCUUUAGCUCAGAAGAAGGAUGUUUUAAACAGUUAGUGGUCAUUGGUUAUACCACAGUUUCAAAAAUGAAUGCCAUACCUACUGCAAUGUCCCUUCCAGAUUUUACACAUCUCUAAAUAUGGGGAAAGGAGGAUGUUGAAGGAGGAAGAGUCUGCUCCUCUCUCUGCUCUGCUUUUUCUGUCAGUGCAGAAGUGUCUCAUGCUGGGGCUCCCACCCUUCCACAGGGCUGACUUUACACUGAAGACUCAGAUCUUUAUGGCCUAUAAAUUAUUGUGGUUUGGAUACAAAUCUUCUCUCCAGAAGGGAUUUCAGUAGGACAUGUGUGAGACUGAGCAUGCACUGCUGUUCCUCACUGCCCUAUCAGUCACAGUAAUUAUAUACAGAGAUUAGGAACAGCCAGAGACAUUUCCCAGCAUAAAUGUUACCCCAUAAAAUCUGGAGGAAAUUUUCCAAUAGGUCAUAAAAAUUUUAAGAACCAUGGAUCACCAGUUCAUCACAAUUACUGCUGUGCUCCUUUUACAGAAAGCAGUGUUGCCCUGUGCUGAAGUAUUGCCUGCCUUGGAUGCUGCUGUUAGGGCUUUUAGCCAUUUUAGGGUAUCCUUGGGAAUGAGUCUCCCAUUUCCCAAUGAGGCAUGCAGGAUUGGAAUCAGGUCCUGAGGCUCUUGAGAGUGCUUGGUCAUUUGGCCUCUUCAGAGUCUGUUUCUUUUCUGGCACCAUGGGCACCUCCUGCCAUCUACAAGCCCAAGAGAAGGCAGGGAGCAAUCAUUUACUAGGAGCAUAACUUCCUUCUGAAGAGAAAAGCAUUUAAUCCCUAAUAGAAGAUGCUUUUAUCUUAUAUUUGUCAGCAAAUUUGCUUGACUGUGUUUACAAUGCCCAAUUAUUUGAUAGUUCAAAAUAAAAAAUAUCCAUCAUCUUCCCGAGCUGUGCAGAACCUGUCAGAAUAUUCAGGAACACUUUGAGCCUUUUUCAUUUCUUUGUUCUAACAGCUCAGUUCACUGUACUGUGGGACCAGCAAAUCUGAUGCAUGUGCAACUGGUGUGGAAGCCCAACACUGUCAAAAUUUGUUAUUAUGGGCUCUCUGCCAUCACCCCAGCUGGCAAAAAUGGGACACGGUUCCACUGCAUGAAUGGAAGGCCAGGCAGACGAUGCUCUGCUGUCACACAGGAGGAGCCUUUCUGGGCUGACUUUCCUGGAAGUUCCUAAUGAUGUACUCUGACCUCUCUGUUUUAGAGACGCCUUGCAGUCAGCAAUACUCAGAGAGAGACACUCCUUGAAACUGACACGUGCUUCAUCUGCUCGUGAAAUGUUGCAAUGAAGAGUACCUCCUGUAAAAUUUUAUUGGUAGCCUCACUGGAUCAUUAGGAAAAUCCCCUUAAUAAAGGAUGCUCCUGAAUCUUAUUACUUGUUUAAUUUUGUU